UCUUGCAAACUAAAGAUGGCGACCGGCGCACGGGUGAGUAACACGUAUCCAACCUGCCGAUAACUCGGGGAUAGCCUUUCGAAAGAAAGAUUAAUAUCCGAUAGUAUAUUAAAACCGCAUGGUUUUACUAUUAAAGAAUUUCGGUUAUCGAUGGGGAUGCGUUCCAUUAGUUUGUUGGCGGGGUAACGGCCCACCAAGACUACGAUGGAUAGGGGUUCUGAGAGGAAGGUCCCCCACAUUGGUACUGAGACACGGACCAA
Molecule: ribosomal RNA, 260 nt
Filed under: uncultured bacterium
Lineage: Bacteria
Description: partial 16S ribosomal RNA
Rfam family: Bacterial small subunit ribosomal RNA
Source: RNAcentral